CCUACGGGAGGCAGCAGUGAGGAAUAUUGGUCAAUGGGCGCGAGCCUGAACCAGCCAAGUCGCGUGAGGGAUGAAGGUUCUAUGGAUCGUAAACCUCUUUUAUAAGGGAAUAAAGUGUGGGACGUGUCCUAUUUUGUAUGUACCUUAUGAAUAAGGAUCGGCUAACUCCGUGCCAGCAGCCGCGGUAAUACGGAGGAUCCGAGCGUUAUCCGGAUUUAUUGGGUUUAAGGGGUGCGUAGGCGGCCUUUUAAGUCAGCGGUGAAAGUCUGUGGCUCAACCAUAGAAUUGCCGUUGAAACUGGGGGGCUUGAGUAUGUGUGAGGCAGGCGGAAUGCGUGGUGUAGCGGUGAAAUGCGUAGAUAUCACGCAGAACACUGAUUGCGAAGGCAGCUUGCCAAGCCAUGACUGACGCUGAUGCACGAAAGCGUGGGGAUCAAACAGGAUUAGAUACCCCUGUAGUC
Molecule: ribosomal RNA, 460 nt
Filed under: uncultured bacterium
Lineage: Bacteria
Description: partial 16S ribosomal RNA
Rfam family: Bacterial small subunit ribosomal RNA
Source: RNAcentral